Molecule: ribosomal RNA, 253 nt
Filed under: Sulfuricaulis sp.
Lineage: Bacteria; Pseudomonadati; Pseudomonadota; Gammaproteobacteria; Acidiferrobacterales; Acidiferrobacteraceae
Also listed under: 1 other name
Description: partial 16S ribosomal RNA
Rfam family: Bacterial small subunit ribosomal RNA
Source: RNAcentral
UACAGAGGGUGCAAGCGUUAAUCGGAAUUACUGGGCGUAAAGCGUGCGUAGGUGGUUUGUUAAGUCAGGUGUGAAAUCCUGGGGCUCAACCUCAGAAUUGCGCUUGAUACUGGCAGACUCGAGUGUGGUAGAGGAUAGUGGAAUUCCCGGUGUAGCGGUGAAAUGCGUAGAUAUCGGGAGGAACAUCAGUGGCGAAGGCGGCUAUCUGGACCAACACUGACACUGAGGUACGAAAGCGUGGGUAGCAAACAGG